AAGUCGUAACAAGGUUUCCGUAGGUGAACCUGCGGAAGGAUCAUUAAAGAGAACUUGCCCUUCGGGGUAUAUCUCCCACCCUAUGUUUACAUACCUUUGUUGCUUUGGCGGGCCCGUCUCACGACCACCGGCACUUUCGCUGGUCAGUGCCCGCCGGAGGACCCCAACUCUAAAUUUUAUGUCGUCUGAGUACUAUAUAAUAGUUAAAA
This 209-nucleotide unclassified non-coding RNA is filed under the name plant metagenome. Its description in RNAcentral is "partial contains small subunit ribosomal RNA and internal transcribed spacer 1". The stretch from base 1 to 46 matches the Rfam family "Eukaryotic small subunit ribosomal RNA", at positions 1786 to 1831 of the family's 1831-position model. The record is from RNAcentral.